RNAcentral lists this ribosomal RNA (257 nucleotides) under uncultured bacterium. RNAcentral's name for it is "partial 16S ribosomal RNA". It matches the Rfam family "Bacterial small subunit ribosomal RNA", at positions 524 to 778 of the family's 1533-position model. The record is from RNAcentral.
UACGUAGGGGGCAAGCGUUGUCCGGAAUCAUUGGGCGUAAAGCGCGUGUAGGGCGGCUCGAUAAGUCUGCUGUGAAAGUUCAGGGCUCAACCCUGAAAUGCCGGUGGAAACUGUCGAGCUAGAGUCCGGAAGAGGCGAGUGGAAUUCCUGGUGUAGCGGUGAAAUGCGCAGAUAUCGGGAAGAACACCCGUGGCGAAGGCGGCUCUCUGGGACGGUACUGACGCGUGAGACGCGAAAGCGUGGGGAGCGAACGAGGA